UCAACCUCAUCUCUAUCCAUCUCUCUCUUCCCUCUCACUAAGCUGCCGUCCAAAACUUCUCCAUUUUCGUGAGCUCCAUCCUCGGUCUUCUUCAUCACUUACCGACUCCCCCUCCGCAACUCCAUCUCUCUCUCUCGAUUUCUUUCCCUUCACCCCCUCGAACUCUCACGCCAACAAGCUGUUCGGUCGACUUCAUCAACACAAGAAGCCACUUCUUUUGACCUCCCAAUCCUCACGAUUUUAGCUCAACAUCCACCAAGUUCUCCUUUGCUGCCCUCUCUCGGUCAAACUCCUCACCGCUGAAGACUCGAGCAAGCAUCCGUGUGGUCUUCUCCAGCUCGUGGCCACCGGAACUACAGCUGCCACGUCCGAAGAUCUCUCCCGGUUUCUACCAGCACGCCUCCACCAUCUUUUGUUCCCCAGUCAAACCAGUCGGUUUGUUGAUCGCUGCAUCAUCUCCAGCAGCUUCACGUGCCACGCCGUUGCCUCGUCCAACACAUGCCCACGAAGCCCAACGCCAGCUCACUUCACGGGUCAACGAAGCAGCUCCAUCCUCUCGGUUGUUGACCGCCAAACGUCCACGAAGCUACUCCAUCGUCCGCACGUCUCUGCCAGCGAAGCCACCGAGCGCCAUCUUCUCUCCAUCCGCGGCCAGCUGUCCACGAUUCUGUUUCCCCAGGUCAACCGUCGAAGAUCCCAGCAAGCCUUCGUCGACGCCAGCUCCUUUGAUUCAGCUUCGGUUUGCAGAGUGCAACCCAGCGAAGACAGGCCCAGUUCGGCAGGGCCCAUCUUCAGCAACAAUUCGGGCCUUUUGGUACAGUCCACUGAUCAGCCCAGCUUCCAUUUUGUAACUUGCUUGGCCCAAAUCUCCAGCAGCCCAUCAACUGAAAGUUUAAGGCCCAAUCUUCCAGCAAAGCAAUUGAAGCCCAGUCCACAUCUUGAAGCCCAAUUCAGUUUAGUUUCAACGAGGCCCAGCAAGUUCAGCCCAGUCUAAAGGAAGCCCAGUCUAGCGCAAGAACAAAUCUCAUUUGGGCUGAGAUUUGUUGAGCCAAGGUCGAGGCCCGGUCCAAGUCCGCCGGUGUUGUCGAAAGUCCGAUUUCGGCCGCCGUCGCGUCGCCAUUGCGGUGAUUCGGUCCCUGUUUUUAAUCAAGUGAGUUUUACUCACUAAUGCUUUAUUAGUUUGCUAAUUAUGUCUUAGGGUUGGUUAGAUUUAAUUACAUGCACUUAGGUGGUUAGAUUAGGUUAGAACAAUUAAUUUAGUGACUUAAUGAUGCAUGUUAGGUGGUUAGACCUAGCUAUUAGCAAGUACAAAUGUUUGGUUAUUUAUUGAAUGCAUCUCGGGAUUUUUCCCGACCCGUUUCGGGCUCUAAUAAGGCAAUAUGGGCCUAAAUUGGAUUUUUAAUAUUUAUUUAUUUAUUUUCGAAAUUAAUUAAUUAUUUAUUUAUUUUUCCGGAAAUUCAACCGGGAUGGCCGGUGACCGGAAUUUCGUGCUGAUUGUCAUGGUGUAGUCCGUUUAUUUAUUUGAGCUCUACAUUGUGUGGAAUUGAAUUUAUUGUGGAAUUUUAGGAAUUGUCCUAAAUUGUUUGUUAUUGAAUAUUUGAUUGGUAAUGGCCAAGCAUGGGUAUAUAGCGCCAGUACGUUGAUGGGCUAUAUAGUAGGGAAAAUGGUGAGAGCUAACUGAGAACAUUAUUGGUUGAGACCAAUCAGGUACGAUAUUAUUGGACAUACGUGGUUCGGUGAUUGGAAGUAUCACUGGCAAAAACGGCGCCUUAAAGAACGCACGUAAAUGACUUAUAGACAAACGUGGUUCGGUGAUUAUGGAAAUAUCACUGGUGAAAACGACGCCUUAAAGAACUCACGAUGUUGUCUAUAGCCGAUGUCACCUUGGCGAAAACGGCGCCCUUGAAAGGACACGUGGUUCAGUGAUCGAGGAUAUCACUGGUGAAAACGGCGCCUUAAAGAACGCACGGUGUCGGUGAUCGGUAUGUCAUUGGCGAAAACGACGCCCAAGAAACACAUGUGAUUUGGUGAAUGAGUACACCACUGAGAGAUCAUGGUAUGAGUGGGAAUGACCUAGAGAUGGUCUGACUGACAUGUAAUCGACUAAGUCGAUUGAUCAAUGCUUGAUCGGAUGUCGUGAAUUGUUUGAAUAUCUGUGUUUAACCUUGAAUUGCAGGUUGGAACCAAGGCAAAGGUAAGUCCUCUGACUCGUGUUAUGCUUAGGCAACCGUAUGGUGUAUUAGUUUACUAAUCGAGUCGUAGGGGGUAGGACUCGCUGAGACGUGGUCUCAUUGGUUAUUGAAUAACAAUUUCAGGACCCUGAGGAAAAGCUGAGGAGGAAGAACCUGAAGGGGAGAAAGUAUUUUGAAGUAGAAGAUGAUCCAGAGAGGGAUCUUGAGUACAACCCAGAUGUGGAUUGAGAUCCCAUCCCUUUUGUGCACCCUGUCUUAGUGUAGAUAGGUGUGAGACAAGUAUGUUGUGAAUAAUAUUGUAAAUAUACUAUGAGUUGUGCUGUUAAUGAAAGUGUGGUUAUGAAUUUCAAUAUGAAAAAUAUGACCUACUUUUCUAUCCCAUUGUUUUAUUGUCUGGGGAUUUAUAACUGCUUCCGCAUGUGCUUAAUAAAAAGAAAGGGUCGGCGAUACAUAGUCCUGGGAUAUCGCAUUCUAAAAUCGACCAAGUAGAAGGAUGUACGCGCGUCCGAGGAUCG
RNAcentral lists this long non-coding RNA (2707 nucleotides) under Eucalyptus grandis. Its description in RNAcentral is "long non-coding RNA (EGRA_LNC003728)". The record is from RNAcentral. Lineage: Eukaryota; Viridiplantae; Streptophyta; Magnoliopsida; Myrtales; Myrtaceae.